This 377-nucleotide ribosomal RNA is filed under the name uncultured bacterium. Its description in RNAcentral is "bacterial SSU rRNA". It matches the Rfam family "Bacterial small subunit ribosomal RNA", at positions 523 to 898 of the family's 1533-position model. The record is from RNAcentral.
ACACGUAGGUGGCAAGCGUUGUCCGGAAUUACUGGGUGUAAAGGGUGCGUAGGCGGGAUGGCAAGUCAGGUGUGAAAACGAUCGGCUCAACCGGUCGCGUGCACUUGAAACUGCGAUUCUUGAGUGGUGGAGAGGUAAGCGGAAUUCCUAGUGUAGCGGUGAAAUGCGUAGAUAUUAGGAGGAACACCAGUGGCGAAGGCGGCUUACUGGACACUAACUGACGCUGAGGCACGAAAGCAUGGGGAGCAAACAGGAUUAGAUACCCUGGUAGUCCAUGCCGUAAACGAUGAUUACUAGGUGUAGGAGGUAUCGACCCCUCCUGUGCCGGAGUUAACACAAUAAGUAAUCCACCUGGGGAGUACGGCCGCAAGGUUGAA